CGAAGUCUUCUAACACAGGCAGCUCGUCACCAUGCAGCUCAGUUGAAUUUCUUUCGGAAGGGACUUAAAUCACUAGAGGCCGUUGACCAGCUCGUAAAAAUUGUUACAGACCCAACAUAUUGAUUAUCAAUUCUGUGGAUCUGAAGAUGAUGGUAGGGAAGAUGAUGAGAAUGGAGAUGAUACAAAUGACGGGAGGGAACUGAGUUUUGACUACAGAACAAAUAAGCAAGGGCUUGAUGUUUUUUCUGCAUCAAGGAAUUCAAUGGAGGUGGAAUAUGUUGACAUGCCAUUUCCUCAAGCUUCAGUGACAGAAAGUACAGAGUUAAACCCAGACAAAAACCAAGGGGGUUUCAAUAUCUCAGUUAGAGAACCUCGACCAGGAAGCCAUUCUGCACCG
This 397-nucleotide unclassified non-coding RNA is filed under the name Hevea brasiliensis (rubber tree). The record is from RNAcentral. Lineage: Eukaryota; Viridiplantae; Streptophyta; Magnoliopsida; Malpighiales; Euphorbiaceae.